RNAcentral lists this long non-coding RNA (1635 nucleotides) under Salmo salar (Atlantic salmon). Its description in RNAcentral is "lncRNA (ENSSSAG00000106362.1)". Lineage: Eukaryota; Metazoa; Chordata; Actinopteri; Salmoniformes; Salmonidae. The record is from RNAcentral.
CCCAGGUCCAUUGCUCCUGACCACGCUGCUUGGUCCUUUGGUGGUGGGAUCUUCAGUAACGAUCGUCGUAAAGAGGAGACCAAGGUGCAGCGUGGAAAGUGCUCAUGUUUACUUUUAUUUAACUCGGUACACUAAACAAAAUAAGGUGCUUCUACACCUGCAUUGCUUGCUGUUUGGGGUUUUAGGCUGGGUUUCUGUACAGCACUUUGAGAUAUCAGCUGAUGUAAGAAGGGCUAUAUAAAUAAAUUUGAUUUAAUUUAAUGAAAAGGAAUACGAACAGGCUUACACAGAGCUGUACAAAAACAAGAUCCCACAACUGAAGGUGGGAAAAAGGGCUGCCUAAGUAUGAUUCCCAAUCAGAGACAACGAUAGACAGCUGCCUCUAAUUAGGAACCAUACUCGGCCAAACAAAGAAAUAUGACAUAGAAUGCCCACCCCAUAUCACACCCUGACCUAACCAAACAGAGAAAAUGGCUCUCAGGUCAGGGCGUGACAUAGUUUAAAUACAUAGUUUAAAAUGAGUAUUGCAUUAGGACAAAUAAAGCAUCACUGAAUAGUUUGUCACAGUUUUUAUUGCAUUAAAAAGCUAAGCCAGAAUAAAGAUAAUGAAAUGCUAAAUAUAUUUAUAGGAGCAAUGUGAGUAUGACCCUAAUAUAACCUUCUAAAUGUUCAUUACUUAACUGAAUAUUGUUAGUUGUUUGGUCUCACAGUUGAUAAGAUACAGAGCAGCGUCCCUGGAUGGAGAGCAGUUUUAGGGUUUAAGUCCCGUGCUCAAGGGCACAAUGGCUGGAGGGGGUACCUGGAAUCAUAGACCAACAGUUCCCACAGUUCUGUUUUUAUACCCUGUCCGUGGAUUGAAUCAGCAACCUUCCGGCUACUGAUCAAGCAACCUUCCACCUCUCCGAAAGCCCAAUUUUUGCAGCUUCUGCACCGUCCGUUUAAACGAGAUUAUGCAUCGAAAGUUCGCUUCUGUCGGCACGUCUCUGCUUCUGCAUCUACACACCUUUUUCCAGCAUGACAUUAGCUUACAAAUGAUAUGUGAAGCUUCUAUGCAUGUAGUGUAGGACAUUAUGAAGGCAUUAUGAUAGAGUCAUGAAGGCUUUAUUAGAUAUAUCUGGUUUAAAAUGUGACUAUGUAGCUUCAAAGUAUACGUUUGCGUCUGUCUAAAAUUUCAGAAUCUGAUAUGAUGGAACGCUGAGAAGAGUCUAUGAUGUUCUUUUUCACUCUCAAUGUCUGAUCUGCACCCUCUGUACUUAUGAAGAUCUCAGUUUCAGAGCUAAAACGUGAAGGCUCCUCCAUGCGUUUUCAAUGUUUGCGUUUGUAAAUAAUCUUUGUCACCUGCUCAGUCAGAAAAGGGUUCUGCCUCGAGUUUCACCCCAUUAGCCAUAUUUAGGCCUUCGUCACACAUACGUUGUUAGUGCGAUAUAAACAAUUCAAUAACAAAAUAUACAUUGUGCAGUGUAAUAACAUGCAGUCUUCAUAUAAUGAAAUGAAUAAUUUACCUGAAGGAAGCAGGUACGAUAGGAUUACCCUUGGGCUAGUGCUCUUUGAUCGUAAAGAGGUGUAAAUGUUGACUCAAACAAGAAGCUUUUAUAGAAACCUGUUGUCAUGGCUGUACAGCUGUGUUCAUGAUUG